RNAcentral lists this unclassified non-coding RNA (344 nucleotides) under soil metagenome. RNAcentral's name for it is "partial contains 5.8S ribosomal RNA, internal transcribed spacer 2, and large subunit ribosomal RNA". The stretch from base 1 to 119 matches the Rfam family "5.8S ribosomal RNA", at positions 35 to 154 of the family's 154-position model. The record is from RNAcentral.
GAUGAAGAACGCAGCGAAAUGCGAUACGUAAUGUGAAAUGCAAAUUCAGUGAAUCAUCGAGUCUUUGAACGCACAUUGCGCCCCCUGGUAUUCCGGGGGGCAUGCCUGUCCGAGCGUCAUUGCUGCCUCAAGCACGGCUUGUGUGUUGGGCCCCGUCCUCCGAUCCCGGGGGACGGGCCCGAAAGGCAGCGGCGGCACCGCGUCCGGUCCUCGAGCGUAUGGGGCUUUGUCACCCGCUCUGUAGGCCCGGCCGGCGCUUGCCGAUCAACCCAAAUUUUUAUCCAGGUUGACCUCGGAUCAGGUAGGGAUACCCGCUGAACUUAAGCAUAUCAAUAAGCGGAGGA